This 253-nucleotide ribosomal RNA is filed under the name uncultured bacterium. Its description in RNAcentral is "partial 16S ribosomal RNA". It matches the Rfam family "Bacterial small subunit ribosomal RNA", at positions 524 to 776 of the family's 1533-position model. The record is from RNAcentral.
UACGAAGGGGGCUAGCGUUGCUCGGAAUCACUGGGCGUAAAGCGCACGUAGGCGGAUUGCUAAGUCAGGGGUGAAAUCCUGGAGCUCAACUCCAGAACUGCCCUUGAUACUGGCGGUCUCGAGUCCGGGAGAGGUGAGUGGAACUGCGAGUGUAGAGGUGAAAUUCGUAGAUAUUAGGAAGAACACCAGUGGCGAAGGCGGCUCACUGGCCCGGUACUGACGCUGAGGCGCGAAAGCGUGGGGAGCAAACAGG